RNAcentral lists this ribosomal RNA (1366 nucleotides) under Escherichia coli. RNAcentral's name for it is "bacterial LSU rRNA". It matches the Rfam family "Bacterial large subunit ribosomal RNA", at positions 398 to 1767 of the family's 2925-position model. The record is from RNAcentral. Lineage: Bacteria; Pseudomonadati; Pseudomonadota; Gammaproteobacteria; Enterobacterales; Enterobacteriaceae.
UGUGAGCUCGAUGAGUAGGGCGGGACACGUGGUAUCCUGUCUGAAUAUGGGGGGACCAUCCUCCAAGGCUAAAUACUCCUGACUGACCGAUAGUGAACCAGUACCGUGAGGGAAAGGCGAAAAGAACCCCGGCGAGGGGAGUGAAAAAGAACCUGAAACCGUGUACGUACAAGCAGUGGGAGCACGCUUAGGCGUGUGACUGCGUACCUUUUGUAUAAUGGGUCAGCGACUUAUAUUCUGUAGCAAGGUUAACCGAAUAGGGGAGCCGAAGGGAAACCGAGUCUUAACUGGGCGUUAAGUUGCAGGGUAUAGACCCGAAACCCGGUGAUCUAGCCAUGGGCAGGUUGAAGGUUGGGUAACACUAACUGGAGGACCGAACCGACUAAUGUUGAAAAAUUAGCGGAUGACUUGUGGCUGGGGGUGAAAGGCCAAUCAAACCGGGAGAUAGCUGGUUCUCCCCGAAAGCUAUUUAGGUAGCGCCUCGUGAAUUCAUCUCCGGGGGUAGAGCACUGUUUCGGCAAGGGGGUCAUCCCGACUUACCAACCCGAUGCAAACUGCGAAUACCGGAGAAUGUUAUCACGGGAGACACACGGCGGGUGCUAACGUCCGUCGUGAAGAGGGAAACAACCCAGACCGCCAGCUAAGGUCCCAAAGUCAUGGUUAAGUGGGAAACGAUGUGGGAAGGCCCAGACAGCCAGGAUGUUGGCUUAGAAGCAGCCAUCAUUUAAAGAAAGCGUAAUAGCUCACUGGUCGAGUCGGCCUGCGCGGAAGAUGUAACGGGGCUAAACCAUGCACCGAAGCUGCGGCAGCGACACUAUGUGUUGUUGGGUAGGGGAGCGUUCUGUAAGCCUGUGAAGGUGUACUGUGAGGUAUGCUGGAGGUAUCAGAAGUGCGAAUGCUGACAUAAGUAACGAUAAAGCGGGUGAAAAGCCCGCUCGCCGGAAGACCAAGGGUUCCUGUCCAACGUUAAUCGGGGCAGGGUGAGUCGACCCCUAAGGCGAGGCCGAAAGGCGUAGUCGAUGGGAAACAGGUUAAUAUUCCUGUACUUGGUGUUACUGCGAAGGGGGGACGGAGAAGGCUAUGUUGGCCGGGCGACGGUUGUCCCGGUUUAAGCGUGUAGGCUGGUUUUCCAGGCAAAUCCGGAAAAUCAAGGCUGAGGCGUGAUGACGAGGCACUACGGUGCUGAAGCAACAAAUGCCCUGCUUCCAGGAAAAGCCUCUAAGCAUCAGGUAACAUCAAAUCGUACCCCAAACCGACACAGGUGGUCAGGUAGAGAAUACCAAGGCGCUUGAGAGAACUCGGGUGAAGGAACUAGGCAAAAUGGUGCCGUAACUUCGGGAGAAGGCACGCUGAUAUGUAGGUGAAG